This 492-nucleotide ribosomal RNA is filed under the name uncultured bacterium. RNAcentral's name for it is "partial 16S ribosomal RNA". It matches the Rfam family "Bacterial small subunit ribosomal RNA", at positions 29 to 507 of the family's 1533-position model. The record is from RNAcentral.
AGUGAACGCUGGCGGUAGGCCUAACACAUGCAAGUCGAACGGCAGCACAGUAAGAGCUUGCUCUUACGGGUGGCGAGUGGCGGACGGGUGAGGAAUACAUCGGAAUCUACUUUUUCGUGGGGGAUAACGUAGGGAAACUUACGCUAAUACCGCAUACGACCUACGGGUGAAAUCAGGGGAUCUUCGGACCUUGCGCGAUUGAAUGAGCCGAUGUCGGAUUAGCUAGUUGGCGGGGUAAAGGCCCACCAAGGCGACGAUCUGUAGCUGGUCUGAGAGGAUGAUCAGCCACACUGGAACUGAGACACGGUCCAGACUCCUACGGGAGGCAGCAGUGGGGAAUAUUGGACAAUGGGCGCAAGCCUGAUCCAGCCAUACCGCGUGGGUGAAGAAGGCCUUCGGGUUGUAAAGCCCUUUUGUUGGGAAAGAAAAGCAGCAGGUUAAUACCCCGCUGUUCUGACGGUACCCAAAGAAUAAGCACCGGCUAACUUCGUG